GGUUGCGAUCAUACCAGCACUAAUGCACCGGAUCCCAUCAGAACUCCGCAGUUAAGCGUGCUUGGGCGAGAGUAGUAUUAGGAUGGGUGACCCCCUGGGAAGUCCUCGUGUUGCAACCU
Molecule: ribosomal RNA, 119 nt
Filed under: Helianthus annuus (common sunflower)
Lineage: Eukaryota; Viridiplantae; Streptophyta; Magnoliopsida; Asterales; Asteraceae
Source: RNAcentral